This 2674-nucleotide long non-coding RNA is filed under the name Aedes aegypti (yellow fever mosquito). Its description in RNAcentral is "lncRNA AAEL027300". Lineage: Eukaryota; Metazoa; Arthropoda; Insecta; Diptera; Culicidae. The record is from RNAcentral.
UUUUUCUUCGAAAGAUAAUUAUUUUUCACUAACACUCCCGUUGGAAUUUUUCUUUUUAUACCAUUCUUGAAUUUUUGACAAAAUUUCAAAAAUUUGAAAUCUUUCAAUAUUUUGAGACAUGCGGAACGAAAAUAGUAACCCUAGAAGUGAGGAUGUAAAACCGGUUAACUGAUAACCCUAUCAUCAGCUGUUGUUUACUUUUUGAAAUGUCAAUCGUUUCAUCGUGUUUUCAAUCGCGGUAGAAAUCACAUCGUGUGAUUUUUUUUAAUUAAUAACUUAUUCGACAUGUUCUGAGGAAAUAUUCUGUGAUAAACUAUUACGAUGCGUAUUCAUUACGAGCUGAGGCCUUUGUUUUGUAACCUAAUCGCCCCACCUGCUGUCUUCCAGAUGAGAUUUAGGUGCACUCCGGAAACAGUUAAACAAUAAUGUACUCUAUGAUUAAUAUACUACUACACCACGCAAUCUUGGAGUUAUCAUAUAAUCAGUUCAAGAAUUUAUCAACUCCGGCGGCGAAAAGAAGUGCAUGCAUGCUCGCAUUCUCCGUUCGCUCCUGACGGGUGGCUCAGCAGUUAACAUACUGAACGGUAUGAAGAAUAUCCAGACGAACGGCGGGACCAGUAUGCUUCGGGAAAACUUCAUCAACGGUAUGGAUGACUAUCAUCUGGGUGUUUUCAGUGGACGCACAAGGAUGAACAACUCGAGUAACAAAUCCCAAUCCUCUAAAUUGAAUAAUAAUCGAACACCUUCAUUCAAGUUGGUAUUUCUAACAUAUUCUUGGAAGAAGUACAUGUACAUAUUCAUUAAAUAAUAAAUAAUGUUGAUUAUUCAAAUUUAAUGUAAAGCUUUUGGAAGCGAUUUAUGCUGAAUUAAUAGGACUAGGGGCCUUUUCCAAUUCUUUGUGGUAUCUGGAGCCGUAUCUAGAUCUGGAUCUGGUAUCUGGAGAGUAUCUGGACUUCCCAUAAAUGCCUAACCACUCAUUAUACUUCCAUGCUGUUGACUUUUAAGGUUUGGGCACAGACAAACAGACGUCACACUCUCAUCGAUGUCAAUCGACCACCUUUUUAACGGUCGAUUCAAAUAUAUGGUAGGUGGCCAAUCCACCACCCGUGUAAUGAAAUCGAAUAACCCCUGUAUAGAGCAGCUUUCUGCACGAAAGCAUUUAGCUUCUUUACAAGCGUAGCGCCACCUCUCUGUGAAAGAGAAAUGCAAUUCAGAAGCUUUUUGGCUGCGGCGUGAGUACCGUUGCGAUCUCACAACGUUGCAACAAACCAUCCAAAAUUUUUAGAAAAAGAUAGGCUGGCACUCAAAAACAAACCAGUGGAAAACGGACUAAAAAAAUGUAUAAGUCCAUCAUGCAUAUAAAACAGAAUGAGACAGCCUCAAUUUAGGUAGAUUUUUUAUGAAAAGAUGGGAAUUUCAAUAGCGUCCAGUGUUCAAGGUCACUGUUUGAAUGCAGAAUUUAGUUGGCAUGGGUUUUUUAAAUUUAUUCGAGUGGAGAUCGUGAACAAGUGCACAUCGGGAAAAAACUGAGUAUUGAAAGUUAAUACCAAGUGAAGUUGAAUUGAACAUCUUAACAAGGUACGGCAGAGCCAAGUGAUAGGCAAAUAUUUAAAUUAAAUAGUGUUGCUAGUAGAAUAACACGUGCUAAAAAAAACAACUCACCGGUAAUGAGCUUGAAUUUCAAAUCAAUGUAGGCCCAAAAGAUCUCUAUCGGGAUUUAGCUGUUCUGGAAAGACAGGACGAGCUGGCUAAAACCGUAUUCGCUGGUAAGAUUAGUACUAUGGCGUUGAUAGAAUUUAAAUUCAUAAAUUGACACGUUGAACAGGUAUAAUCCCCACUGCUCAACGUGGGUGCCAGUCUGGGACCAGAAAGUUGUUCGGAUACCCGUUAAACAUCCGAUAAGCAAUCCAGAAGGACCACCCUAAUCGCUUUCCCUCCUGACAAGCCACCCCACUCCCAUCCGGGGAAAUUCUGAGUGGAAGCGUUUGGGAGCAUCGUCUACUACCGCAUUACUAGAGACGGCCGCGCCACUGGUGGCCAACAUAGGAACCAGCAGUAUUCUCCAAGCGUUUCACUGCUCGACACGUCACACGGGUUGCCUACCUAAUAGCGCAACAUAAUCAGCCGAUCCGCUCGAUAGCCGAAUCUGCUGGAAUCGCCGACCAGGGGUCUGCAUCACGUUAGUGCACACGGAGCAGGAAUUGUGCAACACUACGCUCGUUCAGUUGGAUGUACGGUGCCCGCUGAUCGAAGCCCGUCUUCGUAUUCAAGUCCAAUAUCACCUGCCAGCCUUUCCGCCACCCGGCCAAGUCCCAUUGGUCGCUGCGUUACGACUACUACCACCACGCUCUUUCAGUUGGAUGAAUGGUGCCCGCUGAUCGAUGCCCUUCAUCACGCUCGUUUGAAUAUCAACCCGCCAUUCCGACUCGGGCCCAGUCCUAUUGGUCUCUGGGUUAACGAGUACCACGCCAUCUACCACGAUUUCACCACCAAGACGCUUCCCGCCACGCUGCUUCCGAUUGCUGCUGCCGAUCUUCUGCGCCAAAACAGGAUAACAGGUCAGAUCUGAUUUUUUUUUUAUGAACCAUAAUGAGCUCGAAGAACUUCAUGUAAAGCAAGUGACGUCACUUAGGUAAAUUUAAAAACUAGAAUAUAGAACAUGUUGAAUUCAGAA